Molecule: long non-coding RNA, 3965 nt
Organism: Myotis lucifugus (little brown bat)
Lineage: Eukaryota; Metazoa; Chordata; Mammalia; Chiroptera; Vespertilionidae
Exons: 2
Source: RefSeq, a predicted model, not a curated record
CCAUUUUCCGGGGACUUCGGGACUCUAUCCGUCCGGCUCACAUUGUCCCUGCACACACCCAGGGCCCACAGCGCAUCCCCUGUGAGGUUCAUGCCCACCUCCCAGUAGUGCCGCCCUGAGGAGAAGGUCUGGCAGCCCACUGCACAGGGGUAGGCCAGGAACCUGUCCUUGCUGCAGGGUGUGCCGUCCGGUGGCGUGCUGAGGUAGUGCCGCUGGUGGCUCUCGUACAGGAGGAGGUAGGGGUACGCUGUGGCAGGGUCGGGUACCACGUUCUCUGCAGACAGGCCCAGCAACAGGGAUGGGGCUGAGUCAUCCCUGUCCUCCCUGAUCACCACCCUCCCAGGCCUCCCCUUGGCUGAGUCCAGCUGGGAGCCUGGGUCUCUGCAUGGGCCGUACCCCAGCUGCCGAUGUUGAUGGUGCCAAGGAGAUGAGCUGGGGACCAUUUGGGCAUCUGGGAGUGGCGGGUAAGGGUAGGGUGUGAAUUCCCAGUGAACAUCAAGGCUCCCAGGGGUGGCUCUGGUCGAGAGACUGGCCCCACUUACCUUGGAAACUCUUGAGCACCUCUAUCUGCCCCGGGACUCUGCAGACAGUCCUCAGUGAGAGGGGGGUGGCCUCUGGGUACUGCACACUCAAGCUGUUCUUCCUCCAGAGGGAACAGAUGUUACUGACCCCUCUGGGCCCAUGUGAAGCCCUCCCUGCCUGCACCUCAGGCGGUCAUAUACCUGUCCAGAGGCUCCUUCAUGUCCUGCGAAAACACGGAGAGAGGGAGGGCUGCUACAUCUUGUUAGGGAUCUGGGGCGUCCCCAAGCCCCCUGUGUGGACAUUUCUGGCCUGCAGAGCAAGGAGAAUUCAUAAUGCUUUCCCGUGACCCUCUUUCCAGUUUUCAGAAUGGAUCUCUAUCUCUUGGCCACCAGGGUCUCCUGCUGUCCCCCUGCAUCAGAUCAGGACAGCUGCACAGUGGACAACCAUGUGCAGACACAGGGAGGAGAUGGCAUCCACACACCAAGGAGAGAGGCCUCAGGAGAACCAGUCUUCCAGCCUCCAGACUGAGAAAUAAAUGUUUAAGCCCUCAGCCGGUGGUAUUUGUUACACAGCCUGAGCUGAUGAAGACAGAGCCUUCCCUGUUGGUCUGUAUUUGCCCUGGCAGGUCCACCACACCUGGGCCAGAACUUGUGUCCACCCCGCCCAGCCAGGUGAGCAGGUGAGCCUCACCUGUAGCAUCUGCAGUGGCUCCCGAAUGCUACAGUCCUCCAGCCGCAGCAACAGGGUCUCCAGGGAGCUGCUCUGCUGCUCUAGUGCGACCAUACUCUCCUGCAGCCUGGCAGCGGUGUCCUGCUCCUCCUGCCGCAGGGCCUCCAGGAGGCGCUGUUCCUCCUCCACUAGGAGGGCAGCCAUCUUCUUGAACUCCGUCACAAUGCGCUGUCUCUGCUUCCUCACCUUCUCCUGCAGGGUGGGACCUGGAAGUGAGGCACUGCCAGGGGACUACCAUCCUGUGCCCACCAACUUGGAGGGGCCACACAUCACAUGGCCACAGUGACCCACAGAAAACCAGCACAGCUGGUGGGGGGAGGGGCCACGCAGAGCCCCCAUCACUGUGGGGUGACCCCAUGAGCCCAAAUGGCCAUCAAGGCCUCUGUGUACCCCUCAGUCCCUGCUUCAAAGUGGCCAAUCUGGGCUGAGUGCACGUUCUCAGUCCUGACUCUGGUGGGAAUUCUGUGCCUCUCCUGGGUCUUGUGCUGUCAUCCACCUUGAGGGUCCACAGGUUCUAGAAGCCCUGCAGUACCCUGGGGCCUGGCCAGGCCUUCCCGCCCGUUCCUCAAGGUCUCAGCACCUGCCUGCCACUCGGCCAAGGCCUGCUGCUCCCUGGUCUGCAGCUUCUCGGUCUUCGCCAUUUCCUCCCGCAGGUGCCCCAUGUCACCCUCCAGCUUCAGCUGCAGACAACAGACCGCGGGAUAGGAGUUGGAGGCCCCCUGCACACCCACUUCAGGAGGUGCCCUCUGAAGCUGCAUCAAAGGGAAUGGAAAUGCACCCCAGAGAUGCCCCUUGGGCGUGAGGAUUAUUUUGAGCUGGAGGCAGAAAGACACCUUCCGAGGCUCCUGUUAUGUGACUAAAAGCAGAAACUGCUGAGGAAUGAGGGUUGCCACAGGUCCGCCUCCCGGGGGAAGUUUUAUGGCUCUGAAGGAGGUGGAACGUGGGAUACCACUGAUGAACUUUAUCGUUUGUUGGUUUCCCCAAAAUACUUUCUGUUAUGAUCCGAAUGUUCAUGUCCCCCAAAAUUCACAUGUUAAGUCCUAACCCCCAAGGAGAUGGGGCCUUUGGGAGGUGAUGAGGUCAGAAAGGUGGAGCCCUCGGGAAUGGGGCUAGUGGGGAAGAAGGGACUGAGAGCUCCCAGCCCCCUCUUCCAUGUGAGGACAGUGGGAAGUUGGCUGUCUGUGAACUGGGAAGGAGCCCCCCCCUCCCCCGCCCCGACUGUGCUGGUGCCCUGAUCCUGGACUUCCAGCCUCCAGAGCCAUGAGCAUGAAGUCUUGCUGUUUGUAAGCCGCCCAGUCUUGUGUUCUGUGACAACAGCUGGAAUGGACCAAGAUACUUUCCCAGUUGCUGCCCUUGGGAGCCUGUCACCUUUCCCUUUGUCUCUUCUCUCCAAAUGUACUGUUCCUUGUUCAGAUGCUAAACUAAACCACCUAGCCAGCCACACACAUUGCUGUGCUUUCUUCCCUGUGACGUGUGCGGGCCACAUGUGUUAACAGUUCGCUGUUCUCUCCUUGAUUUGUCUUUUCUCAGUCUGAUUUAGGGUGGAAGAAAAAGGCCCUUUCCUCCCCUACAAAGGGUCACCUGGCCUGCCCACACAGUGGCUUGGAGGCUACUUUUGUCAGCCUGGGCUCCUGAAUAACUGUGGAGGGGAUGCUCAGCUGGCCCUGCCACCUACCUGCUUUAUUGUGGGAGUUACAGACACUUCCACUGUGGGGUCCAGCAUUUGGGGCUCUUUGUUACAGUGGUUGUUCUCCUAUCUGACUGAUACACCCCUGGACACACAGACAUGCACUCAGACCUCCUUGACCCGUUGCCCUUCACCCCUGGGCCCACCUUGUGCUCCUUCACAGCCUCCUCCACCGGGACCACUCUGUGAGGCCGGUGUUCCUGGGACUCCCUGCAGACCACGCAGAUGGGGCUCUGGUCAUCUUCGCAAAAGAGUUUGAGCACCUCCUGGUGCACCUGGCACAGAUCCCUGCUCUGGAUGCCCGGGUGCUGUCGUGCCAUCUCAGCCACCUUGGUCAGCAGGCGGUUGGGCCGCAGGGUCCUCUGGGGGGACAGCUCGCGGCACUCGGGGCAGGGGAAGACACCCCUGCGUUUCCUCCUGCCCUUCUUGCCUUUGGCCUUCUCCCAAGUCAGCCGGAUGCACUCGCGGCAGAAGUUGUGGCCACAGGAGGUCAUCACAGGGUCGGUGAAAUAGUCAAGGCAGAUGGAGCAUGUUGCCUCCUCCUGCAGCUUUCUGGAAAGUUCCACAGCAUCCAUGGCUCCUGGGAAAGAAACAGAGUAUCCGGCCACACCCUCUGCCCAGAACCCCAGGCACUUGGGGUGUCCUCUUGCGGACAGCACUGUACAUGGUCCUGUUAGGGCACCUGGCUUGUCUUCAGUAAGAGGCAUAGGUGCCUCUCUGGAAGCUGACAAAGACUCUCCACAACCGAAUUCAGCCAGGUUCCCCUACGCUGCCACCUGUAUGCCCAGCCACGCCCAGUUUUAUUCCAUUUAGAGCCCAUCCCACCCCUCCUAUGAUGACUGUGCAGGAAUCCUGCUAGUCAGUUUAGCAACAAGAUCCCUCCCCAUUUCUCUUCAUUGUGCUUUUCCAUCACUAACCCCUCGCCGUGCCCUGGGCCAUCCUCCCAUUGUGUGGGCUACAGUAGGAGAUGACCCCGCCUUCCUCCCUAUUGCAGUAGUCUUGAAUAAAGUCUUCCUUACCGGUGUAA